GUGUCAGCAGCCGCGGUAAUACGGAGGGUGCGAGCGUUGUUCGGAAUCACUGGGCGUAAAGCGCGUGUAGGCGGCCUUCUAAGUCUGAUGUGAAAGCCCGGGGCUUACCCCCGGAAGUGCAUUGGAAACUGGGAGACUAGAGUACCGGAGAGGAAGGUGGAAUUCCUGGUGUAGCGGUGAAAUGCGUAGAUAUCAGGAGGAACACCGGUGGCGAAGGCGGCCUUCUGGACGGAUACUGACGCUGAGACGCGAAAGCGUGGGGAGCAAACAGGAUUAGAAACCCCGGUAGUCC
This 292-nucleotide ribosomal RNA is filed under the name uncultured bacterium. RNAcentral describes it as "partial 16S ribosomal RNA". It matches the Rfam family "Bacterial small subunit ribosomal RNA", at positions 505 to 796 of the family's 1533-position model. The record is from RNAcentral.